This 1237-nucleotide ribosomal RNA is filed under the name metagenome. RNAcentral describes it as "bacterial SSU rRNA". It matches the Rfam family "Bacterial small subunit ribosomal RNA", at positions 8 to 1263 of the family's 1533-position model. The record is from RNAcentral.
AGAGUUUGAUCCUGGCUCAGGAUGAACGCUGGCGGCGCGCCUAACACAUGCAAGUCGAACGGACGAUGAAGAGCUUGCUUUUCAAAGUUAGUGGCGGACGGGUGAGUAACGCGUGGGUAACCUGCCUCAUACAGGGGAAUAGCAGCUGGAAACGGCUGAUAAAACCGCAUAAGCGCACAGUGCCGCAUGGCACAGUGUGAAAAACUCCGGUGGUAUGAGAUGGACCCGCGUCUGAUUAGCUGGUUGGCGGGGUAACGGCCCACCAAGGCGACGAUCAGUAGCCGGCCUGAGAGGGUGAUCGGCCACAUUGGGACUGAGACACGGCCCAAACUCCUACGGGAGGCAGCAGUGGGGAAUAUUGCACAAUGGGGGAAACCCUGAUGCAGCGACGCCGCGUGAAGGAAGAAGUAUCUCGGUAUGUAAACUUCUAUCAGCAGGGAAGAUAAUGACGGUACCUGACUAAGAAGCCCCGGCUAACUACGUGCCAGCAGCCGCGGUAAUACGUAGGUGGCAAGCGUUGUCCGGAAUUACUGGGUGUAAAGGGAGCGCAGGCGGGUGAUCAAGUCAGCUGUGAAAACUACGGGCUUAACCCGUAGACUGCAGUUGAAACUGUUCAUCUUGAGUGAAGUAGAGGUUGGCGGAAUUCCGAGUGUAGCGGUGAAAUGCGUAGAUAUUCGGAGGAACACCGGUGGCGAAGGCGGCCAACUGGGCUUUAACUGACGCUGAGGCUCGAAAGUGUGGGGAGCAAACAGGAUUAGAUACCCUGGUAGUCCACACUGUAAACGAUGAUUGCUAGGUGUGGGGGGUCUGACCCCUUCCGUGCCGGAGCUAACGCAAUAAGCAAUCCACCUGGGGAGUACGACCGCAAGGUUGAAACUCAAAGGAAUUGACGGGGACCCGCACAAGCAGUGGAUUAUGUGGUUUAAUUCGAAGCAACGCGAAGAACCUUACCAGCACUUGUCAUCCAACUAACGAAAUAGAGAUAUAUUAGGUGCCCUUCGGGGAAAGUUGAGACAGGUGGUGCAUGGUUGUCGUCAGCUCGUGUCGUGAGAUGUUGGGUUGAGUCCCGCAACGAGCGCAACCCUCGCCAUUAGUUGCUACGCAAGAGCACUCUAAUGGGACCGCUACCGACAAGGUGGAGGAAGGUGGGGACGACGUCAAAUCAUCAUGCCCCUUAUGUGCUGGGCUACACACGUAAUACAAUGGCCAUCAACAGAGAGAAGCAAUACCGCGAGGU